GGAAAUCAUCUCCCUGUCAUUUCAAUUGGGAGCUGGUAGAAAAGGAAAGUCACGCUGAGCAGCACUAGCUGCACAGUUGGUGAGCAGUUUCCUAGCUACGGGCUUUGCAGAAAUACAAGUUAACAGCAACAAAAUGAUCAGUGCCUGAAACACUCUCAGAGGUUUCACUUCCCCCUUCCAAACCUGCUGAGUGUGAUGUGGUCAUGAAGUUCACCUAGGACUCUGGCUGUAAUGAAGGUGGGGCUGAAUCUCAUAUGCAUUCCCCACAGCUCCUCUUCUGCUGUAGCCUAUGUCUAUGGGAGACCCCUUUUCACCAGGAAAAGAAAGACAGCAUCUGCCAAGACUACAGUCAGCACCACAUCGUGGAUUGAGGACCCAACAGAAGCUCAAAAUAUUCCAGGCUGGAAUAAUUUCGGAAGGACUCUUAAUUGACUUCGUAAACAAUCCAUUCCACCCAAUCCAGUUCCUGGCCAAAGGAGUUUCCUAUUCUGAUCAUUUGAACUCAUCUCUCAGAUGCUGUGAGAACCAGUUCAUAUGUGCAGAAGGAUAUCAUUCUGAGGUACGGUCAUCCGAGCCAAAGGGAUGGGUCACAAGUGUUUUGCCCGCACAUGUUGACUGUGCAUUCUCCCUGUGGGGGAGCGAGGAAGAGCAGUCUCUCAGACAUCUGAUGUCCCUGGGUGAAGAGCAGGGGGCGAACUGAUCACACAUUCUCAGAUUAGGAAAGAGCUGGAAACUACAGACCACCUCGGUGUUCACACUAUAAUGGAAUACAAGAGGCUUGCUUGAUUCCUGCUGGGACUGAUGCUUACACUUUGGACACUUCAGAACAAGUUAAGCCUUCAGGUAUAGAACUGCUAGGGAAAGACUGUUAGAAAGGAUAUAUAAUACAAAGGCAUGUCAUUUUCACCAGUCCCAUUGUUCUGGUUUCCAAGAAGGGCUUCAUAUUGGGAAAUCAACCUCAUACACUUCUCUAGCUCGAGUACAAGCAUCUUGAGAGGGAGAGACAGGGCCAGCCCUAGGGAAAAUGGUGCCCUGGGUGAACUUGUAUUUUGGUGCCCCGGCCCCUGCUGCCUCCCCCACCCUGCAUCCUCCCAUCACUGCUGGCCCACGCUGCCUCCCUGGACUCCACACCCACACUAUAUCACACCCAGGCUCUGCUGCCUCCCUUCCCCCCAUUGCCCCACAUUCCCUUCCACAGCCUUGCACCCUAGGCCUGCCCCACUUCUUGCCUCUUGACUUUGGUGCCGCCCUGACCAUGGUGCCCUGGGUGGAUGCCCAUGUCACCCACUCAUAAGGCCGGCUGUGGGGAGAGAUGGGAAGGAAUAAUCCAUAUGUCAUAGGGCAAACUCCUGAGUCAGGAAAUCCAUGGAUCACAGAUUGCAUUUAUCACAGAAUCCAUAUCUGACAGGAAUCUCUACCACACAGACUGAAUUCUCUAGGAGUGUGUCUGAGGAAGCUGUCACACAAAUGUAAGGGGACUGUUGCCCCCUUACUAACAUUCAGUGCGGUGUUUUGGUUGGCUAGCUCCCAGUAUUAAAAGGGGAAGGGUCUAUGGGAAAUCAGGACCCUGAGAUGGACAGUCUCCAGGAACAAUGGGGAGAGGCCAAUGCUCCAGGUCAACCUGAAUGACAGGGCGAGCAGGCUAAUCAGGGAGUCAGGAGGCCAGGGAGGUCCCAUCCUCCAUGUGAGCUGGAAUUGCCUGGGUCAGACAGAGUGGGGCUGAGCUAAGGAGAAAGCAAGGGCCCAAGCUGAGCUGUGCAGCAUGCAGAGAGAGCAGACCCUGGCCUGGGAGCAGAGCUGCAGCCCGAAAGCCAGAGGCACAGCCCAGAGAGAGCAGACUUGCCCUGGGAGCAGAGCUGCAGCAACCAGAGCCAGAGGGGCCAGAAAAGCAGCCCAUGAAGCAGGUCAGUGCUGGGAGCAGAGUCACAGAAGCAGCCUGCAGAGCAGACCUGUCCUGGGAGCAGAGCUGCAGCAACCAGAGGAGCCAAAGAAGCAGCCCAGGGACCUGAAGGCAGAGAAGCAGCAGCAGUGCAGAGACAGAGUGGCGCAGCUGGGGCUGGAGCGGUCUGGAGCUGGGUGCGGUGAGCAAUUGGGGAGAGCGAGGGGGACCCUGGAUAGCAGGCCCAGCAGAGGGAGACGCCUCAGCCAAGGGGCUCUGCAGGCCAGGCUUGGAUCAUAACCUCGACAGGGCGGGGGAGACGCUGGGAAGAAGGGUCCUACCACUUAGAGCCUGAGAGCGUGUGGCCACCGCCAGAGCAAGUGUCCAACCCACAGCAUCCCUGCAGCACAGCCAGGGCCUGAGAAGAAGGCCUGGGACUUGCAAGGAACAGACUGUGAACUGCCCGGACAUUCCAGAGACACUGUUUGUGAUGUUCCCUGCCACAGAGCGGGGUGAUGUGUUUCUUUUAACCUUUCCCAUUUUCCCUUAUUCUUUUUAAAAUUAAUUGUUGAUUAAAUAGCUUGCAUUUGCUUUAAAUUGUAUGUAAUGGUAAGUGGGUCAGAGAAGUGCCCAGUGCAGAGAGAGA
This is a long non-coding RNA of Caretta caretta (loggerhead turtle), 2525 nucleotides long. RefSeq lists it as uncharacterized. Lineage: Eukaryota; Metazoa; Chordata; Testudines; Cheloniidae. The record is from RefSeq and is a predicted model, not a curated record.